Molecule: small RNA, 27 nt
Filed under: Bombyx mori (domestic silkworm)
Lineage: Eukaryota; Metazoa; Arthropoda; Insecta; Lepidoptera; Bombycidae
Description: piRNA piR-bmo-1968753
Source: RNAcentral
UUCCGAUAAGCAUGUCGUUAACAGUGA